AGUAAGGUCACUUUACACAUUUCAAGAUCAUUCUCAGAGCACACUGACAAGAUGCUGGGGACCCUCUGCACUCUCAUCACUGCUCUAACAUGUGUGAGUGGUGUGACAGUGGUGACACAGACGCCUCCUGUUGUGACAGUGAGGAAAGGAGAGACAGCCACCAUGGACUGUAACCUGGGGAGUGUUACURRCAGCRGUGCACGUUGGUACAAACAGAUUCCUGGAGAAGUUCCUCAGUUUGUGCUGAMUUUUYAUCRCMGCKMUAGUUCACCAACCUACGGUUCUGGGUUUUCAUCUCCAAAGUUCACAUCAACUCAUCAGUCCACAACAAAUUAUCGUUUAAUCAUMAAGAGUGCAGAAGAGCCUGACUCUGCAUUUUAUYACUGUAAGACAUGGGAUGGCUCUGUCARUAAUUAUGUAUCACAUUCACGGUUGGAUUUAACAAAAGUUUAUGUGUUUGUUCGAAUAUCUUUAAAAAUAACUCUAGCUUCUAUUAGUGCAGACAAGACCAUAAACCACAGUUGA
Molecule: non-coding RNA, 525 nt
Organism: Poecilia reticulata (guppy)
Lineage: Eukaryota; Metazoa; Chordata; Actinopteri; Cyprinodontiformes; Poeciliidae
Source: the annotation of a RefSeq genome assembly